UACGUAGGGACCAAGCGUUGUUCGGAUUUACUGGGCGUAAAGGGCGCGUAGGCGGCGUGACAAGUCACUUGUGAAAUCUCCGGGCUUAACUCGGAACGGUCAAGUGAUACUGUUGUGCUAGAGUACAGAAGGGGCAAUCGGAAUUCUUGGUGUAGCGGUGAAAUGCGUAGAUAUACGGAGGAACACCAGCGGCGAAGGCGGGUAGCUGGGCCAACACUGACGCUGAUGUGCGAAAGCUAGGGGAGCAAACGGG
RNAcentral lists this ribosomal RNA (253 nucleotides) under uncultured bacterium. RNAcentral describes it as "partial 16S ribosomal RNA". It matches the Rfam family "Bacterial small subunit ribosomal RNA", at positions 524 to 776 of the family's 1533-position model. The record is from RNAcentral.